CAAUUUACAAAAUUUAAAAGGAAAAUGAGCGAUCAUAGAGAGCGACGAAAAUUAUGUAGUUCAAAAAGAGUGCCUGUUUUUUCAGCAUUAUUUCUAUUAAUCGCCACGACUGCUGUUUUCUUUGUAUUCCCGUAAGUAUACAGUUUAUUGUCAUGCCUUAAACGUGUCGAAACUCCUCAAAAUCGUGUUGUUUUUGUUGAUUUUAGUUGUCGCUAUCUUGUGGCUGAAGUAUCGCCAUGGAUAGCUGUGUACGAAGCUAUUUUAACACUCGUUAUAAUUAGUAAUUUUUUCCAAGCUACUAUUCAAGACCCUGGCAAGAUACCAAGAG
Non-coding RNA from Paramuricea clavata, 328 nucleotides. The record is from the annotation of a GenBank genome assembly. Lineage: Eukaryota; Metazoa; Cnidaria; Anthozoa; Malacalcyonacea; Plexauridae.